RNAcentral lists this ribosomal RNA (894 nucleotides) under Spizellomyces punctatus. RNAcentral describes it as "eukaryotic LSU rRNA". It matches the Rfam family "Eukaryotic large subunit ribosomal RNA", at positions 107 to 916 of the family's 3401-position model. The record is from RNAcentral. Lineage: Eukaryota; Fungi; Chytridiomycota; Chytridiomycetes; Spizellomycetales; Spizellomycetaceae.
GCUCAAAUUUGAAAUCUCACAGGGUUACCUGUGCGAAUUGUAGUUUAGAGAAGCGUUUUCGGGGGCAGCUUGGGUACAAGUCCUUUGGGAUGAGGCAUCAUAGAGGGUGAGAAUCCCGUUUAUGACCCAAUGUCUGCUCCUAUGUGAUACGCUUUCCAAGAGUCAGGUAGUUUGGGAUUGCUGCCUAAAAUGGGUGGUAAAUACCAUCUAAAGCUAAAUAUUGGCGAGAGACCGAUAGCGAACAAGUACCGUGAGGGAAAGAUGAAAAGAACUUUGAAAAGAGAGUUAAACAGUACGUGAAAUUGCCAAAAGGGAAACGCUUGGGGCCAGUAUUGCUUGCAGGUAAUCAUCUGCAUGAUCCUGAAAAGGUUAGUGCAGUGCACUUGCUUGCAGGCAGGUCAACAUCAGUUUGGUCUGGGGUAAAAAGCCAGAGGAAGGUAGCUUGGGCUUCGGUCUGAGUGUUAUAGCCUCUGGUCAUGCCUUGGACUGGACUGAGGUCUGCAGCGUCAUUUGGAUACCCAAUCGCCUCCUGAACCUUGUUUUUAGACAGCAUGCUGACUAAGGGCAAGGCUAGGGAGCCCGGUUGGUUUAUCACACCAACGCUUAGGAUGUUGAGGAAAUGGCUCCAAACGACCCGUCUUGAAACACGGACCAAGGAGUCUAACAUAUAUGCGAGUAUUUGGGUGGCAAACCCUUAUGCGAAAUGAAAGUGAACUUAGGUGGGAUCUUCGGUGCACCAUCGACCGGUCUGGAUUUUUUUGAUAGAUCUGAGUAAGAGCAUAUCUGUUGGGACCCGAAAGAUGGUGAACUAUGCCUGAAUAGGGUGAAGCCAGAGGAAACUCUGGUGGAGGCUCGUAGCGAUUCUGACGUGCAAAUCGAUCGUCAAAUUUGGGU